GAUGAAGAACGUAGCGAAAUGCGAUAAGUAAUGUGAAUUGCAGAAUUCAGUGAAUCAUCGAAUCUUUGAACGCACAUUGCGCCCGCCAGAAUUCUGGCGGGCAUGCCUGUUCGAGCGUCAUUUCAACCAUCAAGCCCCCGGCUUGUGUUGGGGACCUGCGGCUGCCGCAGGCCCUGAAAACCAGUGGCGGGCUCGCUAGUCACUCCGAGCGUAGUAAUACAUCUCGCUCAGGGCGUGCUGCGGGUUCCGGCCGUUAAAAAGCCUUAUUUACCCAAGGUUGACCUCGGAUCAGGUAGGAAGACCAGCUGAACUUAAGCAUAUCAAAAGCGAGGA
This 333-nucleotide unclassified non-coding RNA is filed under the name soil metagenome. RNAcentral's name for it is "partial contains 5.8S ribosomal RNA, internal transcribed spacer 2, and large subunit ribosomal RNA". The stretch from base 1 to 120 matches the Rfam family "5.8S ribosomal RNA", at positions 35 to 154 of the family's 154-position model. The record is from RNAcentral.